This is a non-coding RNA of Mycena vulgaris, 95 nucleotides long. The record is from the annotation of a GenBank genome assembly. Lineage: Eukaryota; Fungi; Basidiomycota; Agaricomycetes; Agaricales; Mycenaceae.
GACCUGAUAGCAUAAUGUAGAAUGUGUCUGCUUUUUAUUCAAAGAACAGGAAAAAAAUUCUGCAGAAGGUCCCUGUUCGAUACGGGGUCAGGUCG